UACGUAGGCAGCGAGCGUUGUUCGGAGUUACUGGGCGUAAAGGGUGUGUAGGCGGUUGUUUAAGUUUGGUGUGAAAUCUCCCGGCUCAACUGGGAGGGUGCGCCGAAUACUGAAUGACUAGAGUGCGGGAGAGGAAAGUGGAAUUCCUGGUGUAGCGGUGAAAUGCGUAGAUAUCAGGAGGAACACCGGUGGUGUAGACGGCUUUCUGGACCGUAACUGACGCUGAGACACGAAAGCUAGGGGAGCAAACGGG
This 253-nucleotide ribosomal RNA is filed under the name uncultured bacterium. RNAcentral describes it as "partial 16S ribosomal RNA". It matches the Rfam family "Bacterial small subunit ribosomal RNA", at positions 524 to 776 of the family's 1533-position model. The record is from RNAcentral.